UACGGAGGGUGCAAGCGUUAUCCGGAUUUACUGGGCUUAAAGGGUGCGUAGGCGGGCAGGUAAGUCAGUGGUGAAAUCUCCGAGCUUAACUCGGAAACUGCCAUUGAUACUAUCUGUCUUGAAUUAUCUGGAGGUGAGCGGAAUAUGUCAUGUAGCGGUGAAAUGCUUAGAUAUGACAUAGAACACCAAUUGCGAAGGCAGCUCACUACGGAUAUAUUGACACUGAGGCACGAAAGCGUGGGGAGCAAACAGG
Molecule: ribosomal RNA, 253 nt
Filed under: uncultured bacterium
Lineage: Bacteria
Description: partial 16S ribosomal RNA
Rfam family: Bacterial small subunit ribosomal RNA
Source: RNAcentral